UCAAAAUCAAAAAGCCGGAAUAGC
This 24-nucleotide transfer RNA is filed under the name Platyhypnum cochleariifolium. RNAcentral describes it as "partial tRNA-Phe". Lineage: Eukaryota; Viridiplantae; Streptophyta; Bryopsida; Hypnales; Amblystegiaceae. The record is from RNAcentral.